This 468-nucleotide ribosomal RNA is filed under the name uncultured bacterium. RNAcentral describes it as "partial 16S ribosomal RNA". It matches the Rfam family "Bacterial small subunit ribosomal RNA", at positions 28 to 507 of the family's 1533-position model. The record is from RNAcentral.
GACGAACGCUGGCGGCAUGCCUAACACAUGCAAGUCGAACGGAAACGCCCGGCUUUGUUGGGCUGCGCGAGUGGCGAAGGGGUGAGUUACACGUGGGUAACGUGUACUUGAGUUUGGGAUAACUUAAGGAAACUGGGGCUAAUACCGGAUAGGAGCUCCCGCUGCUUGGUGGGGGUUGGAAAGUUUCGGCGGUUGGGGAUGGAAUCGCGGCUUAUCAGAUUGUUGGUUGGGUAGUGGCAUACCAAGGCUUUGACGGGUAGCCGGCCUGAGAGGGUGACCGGCCCCAUUAGGACUGAGAUACGGCCCAGACUCCAACGGGAGGCAGCAGUGGAGAAUAUUGUACAGUGGGAGGGAGCCUGAUGCAGCCCCGCCGCGUGCGGGAAGACGGCAUUCGGGUUGUAAACCGCUUUCGCCUGUGACGAAGCGUGAGUGACGGUAACGGGUGAAGAAGCACCGGCUAACUACGUG